ACCCGUCUUGAAACACGGACCAAGGAGUCUAGCAUGUGCGCGAGUCAUUGGGACUUAUUUAAACCUAAAGGCGUAAUGAAAGUGAAGGUUCGCCUUGCGCGAAACUAGGGAAGAUGAGCGGCGCCGAGGCGCCGCUUCGCACUCCCGGGGCGUCUCGUUCUCAUUGCGAGAAGAGGCGCACCUAGAGCGUACACGCUGGGACCCGAAAGAUGGUGAACUAUGCCUGGUCAGGACGAAGUCAGGGGAAACCCUGAUGGAGGUCCGUAGCGAUUCUGACGUGCAAAUCGAUCGUCGGAACUGGGUAUAGGGGCGAAAGACUAAUCGAACCAUCUAGUAGCUGGUUCCCUCCGAAGUUUCCCUCAGGAUAGCUGGCGCUCGCCACGUGCGAGUCUCAUCCGGUAAAGCGAAUGAUUAGAGGCAUUGGGGUCGAAACGGCCUCAACCUAUUCUCAAACUUUAAAUGGGUGAGAUCUCCGGCUUGCUUAAAAGACGGCGCCUUCGUGCGCAACGUUGAAGCCGCGAGAUUUCGGAUCAGAGUGCCAAGUGGGCCAUUUUUGGUAAGCAGAACUGGCGCUGUGGGAUGAACCAAACGCAGAGUUAAAGCGCCAAAAUCGACGCUUAUGGGAUACCAUGAAAGGCGUUGGUAACUUAAGACAGCAGGACGGUGGCCAUGGAAGUCGGAAUCCGCUAAGGAGUGUGUAA
Molecule: ribosomal RNA, 701 nt
Filed under: Anthrenus scrophulariae
Lineage: Eukaryota; Metazoa; Arthropoda; Insecta; Coleoptera; Dermestidae
Description: eukaryotic LSU rRNA
Rfam family: Eukaryotic large subunit ribosomal RNA
Source: RNAcentral